RNAcentral lists this ribosomal RNA (497 nucleotides) under uncultured bacterium. RNAcentral's name for it is "partial 16S ribosomal RNA". It matches the Rfam family "Bacterial small subunit ribosomal RNA", at positions 28 to 507 of the family's 1533-position model. The record is from RNAcentral.
GAUGAACGCUGGCGGCGUGCCUAAUACAUGCAAGUCGAGCGAACGGACGAGAAGCUUGCUUUUCUGAUGUUAGCGGCGGACGGGUGAGUAACACGUGGAUAACCUACCUAUAAGACUGGGAUAACUUCGGGAAACCGGAGCUAAUACCGGAUAAUAUUUUGAACCGCAUGGUUCAAAAGUGAAAGACGGUCUUGCUGUCACUUAUAGAUGGAUCCGCGCUGCAUUAGCUAGUUGGUAAGGUAACGGCUUACCAAGGCAACGAUGCAUAGCCGACCUGAGAGGGUGAUCGGCCACACUGGAACUGAGACACGGUCCAGACUCCUACGGGAGGCAGCAGUGGGGAAUCUUCCGAAAUGGGCGAAAGCCUGACGGAGCAACGCCGCGUGAGUGAUGAAGGUCUUCGGAUCGUAAAACUCUGUUAUUAGGGAAGAACAGAUGUGUAAGUAACUGUGCACAUCUUGACGGUACCUAAUCAGAAAGCCACGGCUAACUACGUG